AGACCCGAAACCCGGUGAUCUAGCCAUGGGCAGGUUGAAGGUUGGGUAACACUAACUGGAGGACCGAACCGACUAAUGUUGAAAAAUUAGCGGAUGACCUGUGGCUGGGGGUGAAAGGCCAAUCAAACCGGGAGAUAGCUGGUUCUCCCCGAAAGCUAUUUAGGUAGCGCCUCGUGAAUUCAUCUCCGGGGGUAGAGCACUGUUUCGGCUAGGGGGCCAUCCCGGCUUACCAACCCGAUGCAAACUGCGAAUACCGGAGAAUGUUAUCACGGGAGACACACGGCGGGUGCUAACGUCCGUCGUGAAGAGGGAAACAACCCAGACCGCCAGCUAAGGUCCCAAAGUCAUGGUUAAGUGGGAAACGAUGUGGGAAGGCCCAGACAGCCAGGAUGUUGGCUUAGAAGCAGCCAUCAUUUAAAGAAAGCGUAAUAGCUCACUGGUCGAGUCGGCCUGCGCGGAAGAUGUAACGGGGCUAAACCAUGCACCGAAGCUGCGGCAGCGACACUGUGUGUUGUUGGGUAGGGGAGCGUUCUGUAAGCCUGUGAAGGUGUGUCGUGAGGCAUGCUGGAGGUAUCAGAAGUGCGAAUGCUGACAUAAGUAACGAUAAAGCGGGUGAAAAGCCCGCUCGCCGGAAGACCAAGGGUUCCUGUCCAACGUUAAUCGGGGCAGGGUGAGUCGACCCCUAAGGCGAGGCCGAAAGGCGUAGUCGAUGGGAAACGGGUUAAUAUUCCCGUACUUGGUGUUACUGCGAAGGGGGGACGGAGAAGGCUAUGUUGGCCGGGCGACGGUUGUCCCGGUUUAAGCGUGUAGGUGUGUGUUCCAGGUAAAUCCGGUUCACUUUAACACUGAGGCGUGACGACGAGGCACUACGGUGCUGAAGCAACAAAUGCCCUGCUUCCAGGAAAAGCCUCUAAGCAUCAGGUAACAUCAAAUCGUACCCCAAACCGACACAGGUGGUCAGGUAGAGAAUACCAAGGCGCUUGAGAGAACUCGGGUGAAGGAACUAGGCAAAAUGGUGCCGUAACUUCGGGAGAAGGCACGCUGACACGUAGGUGAAGUGAUUUACUCAUGGAGCUGAAGUCAGUCGAAGAUACCAGCUGGCUGCAACUGUUUAUUAAAAACACAGCACUGUGCAAACACGAAAGUGGACGUAUACGGUGUGACGCCUGCCCGGUGCCGGAAGGUUAAUUGAUGGGGUCAGCGCAAGCGAAGCUCCUGAUCGAAGCCCCGGUAAACGGCGGCCGUAACUAUAACGGUCCUAAGGUAGCGAAAUUCCUUGUCGGGUAAGUUCCGACCUGCACGAAUGGCGUAAUGAUGGCCAGGCUGUCUCCACCCGAGACUCAGUGAAAUUGAACUCGCUGUGAAGAUGCAGUGUACCCGCGGCAAGACGGAAAGACCCCGUGAACCUUUACUAUAGCUUGACACUGAACAUUGAGCCUUGAUGUGUAGGAUAGGUGGGAGGCUUUGAAGUGUGGACGCCAGUCUGCAUGGAGCCGACCUUGAAAUACCACCCUUUAAUGUUUGAUGUUCUAACGUGGACCCGUUACCCGGGUUGCGGACAGUGUCUGGUGGGUAGUUUGACUGGGGCGGUCUCCUCCUAAAGAGUAACGGAGGAGCACGAAGGUUGGCUAAUCCUGGUCGGACAUCAGGAGGUUAGUGCAAUGGCAUAAGCCAGCUUGACUGCGAGCGUGACGGCGCGAGCAGGUGCGAAAGCAGGUCAUAGUGAUCCGGUGGUUCUGAAUGGAAGGGCCAUCGCUCAACGGAUAAAAGGUACUCCGGGGAUAACAGGCUGAUACCGCCCAAGAGUUCAUAUCGACGGCGG
Molecule: ribosomal RNA, 1822 nt
Filed under: Salmonella enterica subsp. enterica serovar Enteritidis
Lineage: Bacteria; Pseudomonadati; Pseudomonadota; Gammaproteobacteria; Enterobacterales; Enterobacteriaceae
Description: partial 23S ribosomal RNA
Rfam family: Bacterial large subunit ribosomal RNA
Source: RNAcentral